RNAcentral lists this ribosomal RNA (380 nucleotides) under marine Metazoa environmental sample. RNAcentral describes it as "SSU rRNA". It matches the Rfam family "Eukaryotic small subunit ribosomal RNA", at positions 587 to 972 of the family's 1831-position model. The record is from RNAcentral. Lineage: Eukaryota; Metazoa.
AGCUCCAAUAGCGUAUAUUAAAGUUGUUGCAGUUAAAAAGCUCGUAGUUGGAUCUCGGAUCUAGGCUUGCGGUUCUGCUCGUGCAGAUACUGUUAGUCCUAAUCUACCUGCCGGUGUUCCCCUGGUGCCCUUAACUGGGUGUCUCGGGUGGCCGGAACGUUUACUUUGAAAAAAUUAGAGUGUUCAAAGCAGGCGCUACGCCUGAAUAAUGGUGCAUGGAAUAAUAGAAAAGGACCUCGGUUCUAUUUUGUUGGUUUUCGGAACUUGAGGUAAUGAUUAAGAGGGACAGACGGGGGCAUUCGUAUUACGGUGUUAGAGGUGAAAUUCUUGGAUCGCCGUAAGACGAACUACUGCGAAAGCAUUUGCCAAGAAUGUUUUCA